RNAcentral lists this ribosomal RNA (533 nucleotides) under uncultured bacterium. RNAcentral describes it as "bacterial SSU rRNA". It matches the Rfam family "Bacterial small subunit ribosomal RNA", at positions 777 to 1307 of the family's 1533-position model. The record is from RNAcentral.
AAUAGAUACCCCGGUAGUCCAUGCCGUAAACGUUGGGAACUAGAUGUAGGGCCUGUUCCACGGGUUCUGUGUCGUAGCUAACGCAUUAAGUUCCCCGCCUGGGGAGUACGGCCGCAAGGCUAAAACUCAAAGGAAUUGACGGGGGCCCGCACAAGCGGCGGAGCAUGCGGAUUAAUUCGAUGCAACGCGAAGAACCUUACCAAGGCUUGACAUAUAGAAGAACACUGCAGAGAUGCAGGACUCUUUGGACACUUCUAUACAGGUGGUGCAUGGUUGUCGUCAGCUCGUGUCGUGAGAUGUUCGGUUAAGUCCGGCAACGAGCGCAACCCCCGUCCUAUGUUGCCAGCACGUAAUGGUGGGAACUCAUGGGAUACUGCCGUGGUCAACACGGAGGAAGGUGGGGAUGACGUCAAAUCAUCAUGCCCCUUAUGUCUUGGGCUUCACGCAUGCUACAAUGGCCGGUACAAAGGGCUGCGAUACCGCAAGGUGGAGCGAAUCCCGAAAAAGCCGGUCUCAGUUCGGAUUGGGGUCUG